This 2904-nucleotide ribosomal RNA is filed under the name Salmonella enterica subsp. enterica serovar Braenderup. RNAcentral describes it as "bacterial LSU rRNA". It matches the Rfam family "Bacterial large subunit ribosomal RNA". The record is from RNAcentral. Lineage: Bacteria; Pseudomonadati; Pseudomonadota; Gammaproteobacteria; Enterobacterales; Enterobacteriaceae.
UUAAGCGACUAAGCGUACACGGUGGAUGCCCUGGCAGUCAGAGGCGAUGAAGGACGUGCUAAUCUGCGAUAAGCGCCGGUAAGGUGAUAUGAACCGUUAUAACCGGCGAUUUCCGAAUGGGGAAACCCAGUGUGACUCGUCACACUAUCAUUAACUGAAUCCAUAGGUUAAUGAGGCGAACCGGGGGAACUGAAACAUCUAAGUACCCCGAGGAAAAGAAAUCAACCGAGAUUCCCCCAGUAGCGGCGAGCGAACGGGGAGGAGCCCAGAGCCUGAAUCAGCAUGUGUGUUAGUGGAAGCGUCUGGAAAGGCGCGCGAUACAGGGUGACAGCCCCGUACACAAAAGCGCAUGUGCUGUGAGCUCGAUGAGUAGGGCGGGACACGUGGUAUCCUGUCUGAAUAUGGGGGGACCAUCCUCCAAGGCUAAAUACUCCUGACUGACCGAUAGUGAACCAGUACCGUGAGGGAAAGGCGAAAAGAACCCCGGCGAGGGGAGUGAAAAAGAACCUGAAACCGUGUACGUACAAGCAGUGGGAGCACCCUUUUGGGUGUGACUGCGUACCUUUUGUAUAAUGGGUCAGCGACUUAUAUUCUGUAGCAAGGUUAACCGCAUAGGGGAGCCGGAGGGAAACCGAGUCUUAAUUGGGCGUUAAGUUGCAGGGUAUAGACCCGAAACCCGGUGAUCUAGCCAUGGGCAGGUUGAAGGUUGGGUAACACUAACUGGAGGACCGAACCGACUAAUGUUGAAAAAUUAGCGGAUGACCUGUGGCUGGGGGUGAAAGGCCAAUCAAACCGGGAGAUAGCUGGUUCUCCCCGAAAGCUAUUUAGGUAGCGCCUCGUGAAUUCAUCUCCGGGGGUAGAGCACUGUUUCGGCUAGGGGGCCAUCCCGGCUUACCAACCCGAUGCAAACUGCGAAUACCGGAGAAUGUUAUCACGGGAGACACACGGCGGGUGCUAACGUCCGUCGUGAAGAGGGAAACAACCCAGACCGCCAGCUAAGGUCCCAAAGUCAUGGUUAAGUGGGAAACGAUGUGGGAAGGCCCAGACAGCCAGGAUGUUGGCUUAGAAGCAGCCAUCAUUUAAAGAAAGCGUAAUAGCUCACUGGUCGAGUCGGCCUGCGCGGAAGAUGUAACGGGGCUAAACCAUGCACCGAAGCUGCGGCAGCGACGCUUAUGCGUUGUUGGGUAGGGGAGCGUUCUGUAAGCCUGCGAAGGUGGCCUGUGAGGGUUGCUGGAGGUAUCAGAAGUGCGAAUGCUGACAUAAGUAACGAUAAAGCGGGUGAAAAGCCCGCUCGCCGGAAGACCAAGGGUUCCUGUCCAACGUUAAUCGGGGCAGGGUGAGUCGACCCCUAAGGCGAGGCCGAAAGGCGUAGUCGAUGGGAAACGGGUUAAUAUUCCCGUACUUGGUGUUACUGCGAAGGGGGGACGGAGAAGGCUAUGUUGGCCGGGCGACGGUUGUCCCGGUUUAAGCGUGUAGGUGUGUGUUCCAGGUAAAUCCGGUUCACUUUAACACUGAGGCGUGACGACGAGGCACUACGGUGCUGAAGCAACAAAUGCCCUGCUUCCAGGAAAAGCCUCUAAGCAUCAGGUAACAUCAAAUCGUACCCCAAACCGACACAGGUGGUCAGGUAGAGAAUACCAAGGCGCUUGAGAGAACUCGGGUGAAGGAACUAGGCAAAAUGGUGCCGUAACUUCGGGAGAAGGCACGCUGACACGUAGGUGAAGUGAUUUACUCACGGAGCUGAAGUCAGUCGAAGAUACCAGCUGGCUGCAACUGUUUAUUAAAAACACAGCACUGUGCAAACACGAAAGUGGACGUAUACGGUGUGACGCCUGCCCGGUGCCGGAAGGUUAAUUGAUGGGGUCAGCGCAAGCGAAGCUCCUGAUCGAAGCCCCGGUAAACGGCGGCCGUAACUAUAACGGUCCUAAGGUAGCGAAAUUCCUUGUCGGGUAAGUUCCGACCUGCACGAAUGGCGUAAUGAUGGCCAGGCUGUCUCCACCCGAGACUCAGUGAAAUUGAACUCGCUGUGAAGAUGCAGUGUACCCGCGGCAAGACGGAAAGACCCCGUGAACCUUUACUAUAGCUUGACACUGAACAUUGAGCCUUGAUGUGUAGGAUAGGUGGGAGGCUUUGAAGUGUGGACGCCAGUCUGCAUGGAGCCGACCUUGAAAUACCACCCUUUAAUGUUUGAUGUUCUAACGUGGAUCCGUAAUCCGGGUUGCGGACAGUGUCUGGUGGGUAGUUUGACUGGGGCGGUCUCCUCCUAAAGAGUAACGGAGGAGCACGAAGGUUGGCUAAUCCUGGUCGGACAUCAGGAGGUUAGUGCAAUGGCAUAAGCCAGCUUGACUGCGAGCGUGACGGCGCGAGCAGGUGCGAAAGCAGGUCAUAGUGAUCCGGUGGUUCUGAAUGGAAGGGCCAUCGCUCAACGGAUAAAAGGUACUCCGGGGAUAACAGGCUGAUACCGCCCAAGAGUUCAUAUCGACGGCGGUGUUUGGCACCUCGAUGUCGGCUCAUCACAUCCUGGGGCUGAAGUAGGUCCCAAGGGUAUGGCUGUUCGCCAUUUAAAGUGGUACGCGAGCUGGGUUUAGAACGUCGUGAGACAGUUCGGUCCCUAUCUGCCGUGGGCGCUGGAGAACUGAGGGGGGCUGCUCCUAGUACGAGAGGACCGGAGUGGACGCAUCACUGGUGUUCGGGUUGUCAUGCCAAUGGCACUGCCCGGUAGCUAAAUGCGGAAGAGAUAAGUGCUGAAAGCAUCUAAGCACGAAACUUGCCCCGAGAUGAGUUCUCCCUGAGACUUAAAGUCUCCUGAAGGAACGUUGAAGACGACGACGUUGAUAGGCCGGGUGUGUAAGCGCAGCGAUGCGUUGAGCUAACCGGUACUAAUGAACCGUGAGGCUUAACCUU